This 226-nucleotide ribosomal RNA is filed under the name uncultured bacterium. RNAcentral's name for it is "partial 16S ribosomal RNA". It matches the Rfam family "Bacterial small subunit ribosomal RNA", at positions 27 to 269 of the family's 1533-position model. The record is from RNAcentral.
GAAUGAACGUUGGCGGCGUGGAUUAGGCAUGCAAGUCGUACGCCCCGCAAGGGCGUGGCGCAAGGGUGAGUAAGGCGACGGCAACCAACCCCGCGGCCGGCAUAGCCACUCGAAAGGGUGGGUAUUCCCGACGCCCCAGGGUGAUGGCAUCACCAUCCUGGGAAAGGUNAGACUCCGCCGUGGACGACCGUCGUGGUAUCAGCUUGUUGGCGGGUAAUGGCCCACC